GAGAGAUGGCAGAGUGGUCGAAUGCACUGGUCUUGAAAACCAGCGUACCGCAAGGUACCGGGGGUUCGAAUCCCUCUCUCUCC
RNAcentral lists this transfer RNA (83 nucleotides) under marine eukaryotic metagenome. It matches the Rfam family "tRNA". Rfam says of the family: Transfer RNA (tRNA) molecules are approximately 80 nucleotides in length. Their secondary structure includes four short double-helical elements and three loops (D, anti-codon, and T loops). The record is from RNAcentral.